CAUGUACGUACCUCCCCUUCAUCGUCCCGUCUCAAAACUCUCUCCCUCCCUCCAUCUCUCCCUCUCUCUGGCUAAGGUAGCAGUGUAGCGAUCCGACCGAGAAGAUGAGCUCUAUUGGCAUGAUGGAGGCGAGGAUGCCGCCGGGGUUCCGGUUCCACCCACGGGACGAGGAGCUGGUCCUCGACUACCUCCUCCACAAGCUCACCGGCCGGCGCGCAUACGGUGGCGUCGACAUCGUGGACGUCGACCUCAACAAGUGCGAGCCAUGGGACCUUCCAGGUACGUACCCAAGCGUUCCUACUUCCUACGUGCCUACUCAUCUCUCGACGUCACUGCUGUUCGUAGCAACCUUUCUUCGUCCAUUAGCCCGGCGCUCUGUUGGUUCUUGUUCCUGCAUGCAGUUCAUGGCGCUGGCGACCAACUUAAUUUUUGUGAAAAAAAACUUAAUGAUUUCUUCAAGGAAAGGAAGGUUGAUUGAUUCAUUCUGCUUCUGCAAGUGGGAAAAAAAAAGAGUGAAAACAAUCCGGAGACCUUCGAUGUGUUACACUGACGUGAUAACCAACUACACCUCGCUGAAAUCAUACUUUCUGCUAAUUUACCGAAGCUGUAUAUUUGGAUUUUGGACAGAUUGGUUGCAUGCUAAAAUGUUUGGAUGGAUUCGUCUUGCUUCUCCUUGUGCAGAGGCGGCGUGCGUGGGCGGCAGGGAGUGGUACUUCUUCAGCCUGCGCGACCGCAAGUACGCCACCGGCCAGCGCACCAACCGCGCCACGCGCUCCGGCUACUGGAAGGCCACCGGCAAGGACCGCGCCAUCCUCGCGCACGGCGAGGCGUUGGUGGGGAUGCGCAAGACGCUCGUCUUCUACCAGGGGAGGGCCCCCAAGGGGACGAGAACGGAGUGGGUCAUGCACGAGUUCCGCCUCGAGGAGGAGCGACACCGCCACCACCACCAGCAGAAGGGCGGCGCCGCCGCCGCCGAGGCGAGGUGCCAGCUCAAGGAAGACUGGGUGCUAUGCAGGGUGUUCUACAAGAGCAGAACAAGCAGCCCAAGGCCACCAUCUGAAGAAGUCUGCACAUUUUUUAGCGAGCUGGACCUUCCGACUAUGCCACCGCUCGCGCCCCUCAUCGACGCGUGCAUCGCCUUCGACAGCGGCACCGCGAUGAACACCAUCGAGCAAGUGUCCUGCUUCUCCGGCCUGCCAGCACUACCCCUCAGGGGAUCGAUGAGCUUCGGGGACCUGCUGGGCUGGGACAACCCUGAGAAGAAGGCCAUCAGGACAUCUCUGAGCAACAUGUCAAGUAACAGCAAUUCCAAGUUGGAGUUGACCCCAAACUGGAGCCAGGAGAACGGCUUGUCACAGAUGUGGACACCCCUCUGAAUCUUGAUAUGAGACUAUUGUGCUGCUAGUUGAAGUGUGGUGGUGGCUAGUAAGUAAUUAGAUGACAUAUUCUUUCUAAUGAUAUUGGAGUAGCAUUGGACUAUUGGUUGAUGCAGUGUCUGUUCCUAGGGAUUUGAUGGAAGUGUGUGUUGAUUUACAAACCAGUAGAUUAGUGGAAUGGCUUGAUAUAGCAUCUGUACAUAGGAAUGCUAAGAAAUGUCCUAUUUUAAUUUUACUAUUUCUUUCUACUCUCCAAAUGUAAUGUAACCUCCAGCUGAAAGUAAAUACUAUGUGGAUAACCCCUAUUUGUCAUUC
RNAcentral lists this ribosomal RNA (1691 nucleotides) under Triticum aestivum (bread wheat). RNAcentral's name for it is "partial small subunit ribosomal RNA". The record is from RNAcentral. Lineage: Eukaryota; Viridiplantae; Streptophyta; Magnoliopsida; Poales; Poaceae.